AAAAGUAACGAAACACACUACUUUCCAUAAAAAGUAACUAAGUAACAAUACUUGGUUACUUCUUAGGGAGUAAUGC
Long non-coding RNA from Sinocyclocheilus rhinocerous, 76 nucleotides. RefSeq lists it as uncharacterized. The record is from RefSeq and is a predicted model, not a curated record. The transcript is spliced from 3 exons. NCBI's taxonomy places the organism in Eukaryota, Metazoa, Chordata, Actinopteri, Cypriniformes, Cyprinidae.